Molecule: unclassified non-coding RNA, 403 nt
Filed under: Hevea brasiliensis (rubber tree)
Lineage: Eukaryota; Viridiplantae; Streptophyta; Magnoliopsida; Malpighiales; Euphorbiaceae
Source: RNAcentral
GCCCAAGACAAGUUCAUAAGAUUUUGUAUGAUGCUAAAACGAAAAAUAACUUAGACCAUCAAUAGAGGGGAAGCUAACUUUGACUACAUCAGAUUCUAAGUAUUAUGCAACAGAGAAUGCUUCUAGUCACAAUGGAAAGAGGGAAAAUAUUUAAAGUUUCUAAAUUUAACCAAUGUAGAAAAAAACAAGAUAGGUUAGGAUUUUACAAUAGACAACUAUCAAAUGAAAAUAUGCAUGCUAUUAUGGAGACUUAGACGAACGACGACUUAUUAACACAAUGGACAUAUUCGACUUGACAAAAAUUCCAGCACUACAAGAUCCUAACAGACAAGUUCAAAGCCAAAUGGAUUCAUUUAGAUAGGACUACAAUCUUCAAGAAGUAAUCUGUACAACUCGUGUUAAG